AUGACAUCGAUGAUGCGGUUGAUGUGGUGGCAGUUGGUGCCGGUUGGGGAAGCUGUAGUAGCAGCCGAAUCAGCCGCGACCCAUCUCUGGCUGGCACAGUCCAUUGAGGCACCUGCGCCGGCCCCCGCCCGCUACCCCGUCGCGCCACCACAAGCAUCGCUGGCAGCAUCGACAGCGCUACCGCCGACGUAUCCGCGGCGGGCAGCGCCGGCGCCAGGUGCACCCGCCGUCCCUUCCCUUGGUACUGCUUCUUCACCACCUCACUUCAAUUGUAGUAGUACUACUUAUGCACUGGCAGCGCGGCCGGGUUCAGUGGCCACCACUGGUCGAUGGCAGCAGGGCGGGGAGUUGGUGGGGUUCGCUGGCUGA
Molecule: ribosomal RNA, 369 nt
Filed under: Triticum aestivum (bread wheat)
Lineage: Eukaryota; Viridiplantae; Streptophyta; Magnoliopsida; Poales; Poaceae
Description: partial small subunit ribosomal RNA
Source: RNAcentral